Mustela erminea (ermine) is the source of this 2645-nucleotide long non-coding RNA. RefSeq lists it as uncharacterized. The transcript has 4 exons. The record is from RefSeq and is a predicted model, not a curated record. Lineage: Eukaryota; Metazoa; Chordata; Mammalia; Carnivora; Mustelidae.
CUCCUUCCUGCAUAGACAGUUGAGGACUGGUUAAGGCCAUGAAGUUGGCAGGGAGAGGAAGAGCCUGAAAACUGUGUUGAGGCUAGGCCCACGCCGUGCAUAGCUGUAGGUGACCACGGGGGACAGCUGCCACAGACAGCUUCAGCUGGCAGCCAGCAGUUAGGAAAGAGGAAUCUUGGAGUUCAUUGUGAAUAGAACCAGCGGACCAUCUGGAGGGCCAAAGAGCAGGGUGGUGAAUGGUGAUGAAAACUGCAAGAAACAGGUUUCACAUGUGAAGGACUUCCAGCUUCCCAAGGUCAGCCGGGGAGUCACGUGAUGAAGUCUGUGGCCAGAACGGCAUGAUGCAGUUCGACGAAGACUAAAAAAUUGGGAUUUAUGGCGGCGACGUUGAAAAAUACUCACCUUUACUGGCACCAGUACCCGUGAAGGGAGGUCGAGGACCCAGCGCCAGGCGCAGACGUCGUCUGCAGGCGUGGUGGUGAGGACCAGGGCCCAGCUGAAAGGAGAGGGUCCGAUUGCUAGGGAGCGGAUGGGACACGCCGCUUCCACUCAGGGGUCGCAGCCCACACUGGAACUACAAAUCUCAAGCCCGACAUGGAGCUGAAGAAGCUGAAAUGACAGCGGGGUCCACACUGGGGAAACUAAGGAGGGGUAUUAAGAGAGAUGUUAUAAGAAACAUCAGUGUGACCCCUCCAUUAUCUGGGUAUUCCAGAGGAAACCUCCAGAAUGGCCCACUCCCCAAACAUAGAAACAUCUAAAGCUAGUGAGAUUUCGUGACCCGUAGUAUUCUCUGCUUGGUGCCUGGUGAUAUGCUCAGUGGAGGUAAAAAUGCAAAGUAUGGCCUGGAAAGAAUUUUUUUUUUUUUUAACGGUUUUUAGAAGUGACUGCCAUCCAUAGCACUCCGCACGUGAAGCGGCAGAUGGAGUUGCACGCGCCCCCGGGGAGGGAGGAUGUGUGCCGCGAGUUCUUUCUGACUCCAGUGUGCUUCUUACUAAGACACAGGAAGGCUCGCGCCAUUCGAUGCCUCGGCUCAUCGCUGCUCAAGACUCAAUUCAGCCCAAAUUACUCUUGUUGGAGAAGUGAACUUGGAUGGUUCCUUUAACGAGGCAGGAAGGGGAAAUUCCAUCUUCUGCCUGAGCUCCGCGCAGCCUGCCCGAAGGCUGAGGGGUCCGGAUGCCGAGCCGGUGACCGACUUGGAUCCAGGAGCAGCGGAGUCAGCAGAUCUGAAGGCUCUGGCUCGCUCUGAAGCAGAUGCCGUUAAAGCAGAACAGAAUCUCCUCCAAACAGGCUGCCACCCCAGCUCACAUGGCCACCAUCUGCUGUAGCAGUGUCCCCACUGUGCUGUGCUCCCAGUUUCUUCUGGUUACCUUCCCAGGCAAGGGGUGCUGCCUGGUUGGGCAGGCUGUAAGCUAGAAAUAAUGGCUUUAGCUCCCUGACUCAAGCCAGGAGCAGACCUCUCUACUGUGGAGUCGGGCCAGCGCCGGGAGAAGUUGGUGGUGGCCCCAUCUGCUUCCUCCCUCUCACCAGUUCCCUCCCUCCGGUCCCCGGCCGUUCUUUCUCCAGGCCUCUGGGGCUCUCUCUUGCUUGGCAGCUACAUCUGGUGGGCCGGCUUGGAGCAUUGAGCUUCUGCCUCCCAGCUCAGUGCGAUAUGCAGUUUGACAGAGAGCCCCAGGAAGAAACAGAGCUGAUUCCAGAGGAAUGGACUUGUGAAUGGUGCCUGGGCACGUGCCCAGCUUGUUGGCUCCCAGGCCAGGGAGAUACUAUUGCCGAAGGUGGCCUUUGGAGUGUCCGUCCUCUGAAUUAGACCAUCUAGGUCAUUGGCUACGUUUUUGGGAGUAGGACUGGCACUGACACAAAUUAAUUUCUAAUUCUGCCCUCCGAGUAGCGGAACCCAAGAUCUGGGACUGUUGGCAUUUAGUAGGCUGCCCUGGGGGCGAUUUCUUCAGCCAUUUGUGCCACUUCUUUUAGCAAAGGGUUUGGACCUGGUCCUAACUGUAGGGCUUUGGGUGUCUUACAGAGCUAAAACAAAAUAUCAUGGACUAUGUAGCUUAAACAACAAAUGUUUAUCUCUCAUAGUUUUGGAGGCCGGGAAUCUGAGAUGCUGCUGCUGGCUGAUCUGGUUCCUGGUGGGAGGUCGUGGAUGCUGGCCUCCUUCUGGCCAUCAGAGGGUGAGGGGGAGGUUGAGAACCCAGGUACUCCGAAUUCUAGUCCAUUGUUAUUUCAGCAACGUUCUUGUGUCGCAGGUACCAGUUGUUCUUUUAGUUACAAUGUCUCCUCCUCCAGACUUCCUUUGGCAAGAAAUCUGUGCUUCUGAAGUCAAUUUAAUAAUAAGGAUAUCUGUCCUCCAAUGGAAUUUGAAACCUAAGGACUUACAGAUGACACCAUCAAACAAGUAACAUCUGCCUCAAAAACCAGGCCUAACAUAUAUAUUCUGCUCUGGGCAAAAGCAACAGGACCUCUUAUAAAGAGAGCUGACAACUUGAAUAACUGUAUCGCAUGGUCGUGGAGAUCAAACGGUGGCAAGAGUCACCUGAGACAGAAAGCAUUUCACAUGCUGUCAACAGGAAGCUUGAGACCCUUGCUUGACCCGAUCGAUAUGAUGAAGAAUGAGAAAGACUGUGCCAUCCAGUUGGGGGGGGGGUGGC